GCGCUAGUAGCUCAGCUGGCUAGAGCACGCCCCUGAUAAGGGCGAGGUCGAAGGUUCGAGUCCUUUCUGGCGCAUCA
RNAcentral lists this transfer RNA (77 nucleotides) under Planctomycetota bacterium. RNAcentral describes it as "Planctomycetes bacterium tRNA-Ile". It matches the Rfam family "tRNA". Rfam says of the family: Transfer RNA (tRNA) molecules are approximately 80 nucleotides in length. Their secondary structure includes four short double-helical elements and three loops (D, anti-codon, and T loops). The record is from RNAcentral. Lineage: Bacteria; Pseudomonadati; Planctomycetota.